RNAcentral lists this ribosomal RNA (209 nucleotides) under Weissella paramesenteroides. Its description in RNAcentral is "partial 16S ribosomal RNA". It matches the Rfam family "Bacterial small subunit ribosomal RNA", at positions 1 to 178 of the family's 1533-position model. Lineage: Bacteria; Bacillati; Bacillota; Bacilli; Lactobacillales; Lactobacillaceae. The record is from RNAcentral.
UUAAAAUGAGAGUUUGAUCCUGGCUCAGGAUGAACGCUGGCGGCGUGCCUAAUACAUGCAAGUCGAACGCUUUGUCUUUAAUUGAUCUGACGAGCUUGCUCUGAUGUGAUUUUAUCUGACAAAGAGUGGCGAACGGGUGAGUAACACGUGGGUAACCUACCUCUUAGCAGGGGAUAACAUUUGGAAACAAGUGCUAAUACCGUAUAAUA